GUUUACAGAGCUCAGUCAGAGUCUCCUGCCAGUUCAAAAAAAAAAAAAAGUGAGUUGCCUAAUUUUAUUAAUUAUGCUACUGUAAGUCUGUGGCCUCAGAAGACCCAGCAAGUUGUGGGGCAACACACCACAUAUGGAGGCUUUGCACAUUCUUCCCAGAGUAAAACACAAGGUCCAGAUUUGUGCCCAAGACACUUGGAUGAAACGUGC
Clarias gariepinus (North African catfish) is the source of this 210-nucleotide long non-coding RNA. RefSeq lists it as uncharacterized. The transcript is spliced from 3 exons. NCBI's taxonomy places the organism in Eukaryota, Metazoa, Chordata, Actinopteri, Siluriformes, Clariidae. The record is from RefSeq and is a predicted model, not a curated record.